CAGUAGCCGCGGUAAUACGAAGGGGGCUAGCGUUGUUCGGAAUUACUGGGCGUAAAGGGCGCGUAGGCGGCCAUUCAAGUUAGAUGUGAAAGCCCUGGGCUCAACCUAGGAAUUGCAUUUGAUACUGUUUGGCUUGAGUUCGGGAGAGGUGAGUGGAAUUCCCAGUGUAGAGGUGAAAUUCGUAGAUAUUGGGAAGAACACCAGUGGCGAAGGCGGCUCACUGGACCGACACUGACGCUGAGGCGCGAAAGCGUGGGGAGCGAACAGGAUUAGAUACCCCUGUAGUCCCUGUCUCUUAUAC
Molecule: ribosomal RNA, 301 nt
Filed under: uncultured bacterium
Lineage: Bacteria
Description: partial 16S ribosomal RNA
Rfam family: Bacterial small subunit ribosomal RNA
Source: RNAcentral